RNAcentral lists this ribosomal RNA (764 nucleotides) under uncultured bacterium. RNAcentral's name for it is "bacterial SSU rRNA". It matches the Rfam family "Bacterial small subunit ribosomal RNA", at positions 57 to 829 of the family's 1533-position model. The record is from RNAcentral.
GCAGUCGAACGAGGAGCCAUUGUAUUCGUACGGUGGAUUUCCUAGUGGCGAAUGGGAAGAGUAACGCGUUGGUGACCUGCCCCAAAGAGAGGGAUAACAGUUCGAAAGGACUGCUAAUACUUCAUGUGGUCACGGAGACUAGAGGCUCUGUGUCUAAAGGAGCAAUCCACUUUGGGAGGGGCCUGCGUCCCAUCAGCUAGUUGGUAGGGUAAUGGCCUACCAAGGCGACGACGGGUAGGGGGCCUGAGAGGGUGAUCCCCCACACUGGCACUGAAACACGGGCCAGACACCUACGGGUGGCAGCAGUAGGGAAUAUUGCACAAUGGGCGAAAGCCUGACGCAGCAACGCCGCGUGCACGAUGAAGGCCUUCGGGUCGUAAAGUGCUUUUCGGGGAGAUGAGGAAGGACAGUAUCCCCGGAAUAAGGAUCGGCUAACUACGUGCCAGCAGCCGCGGUAAAACGUAGGAUCCGAGCGUUAUCCGAAUUUACUGGGCGUAAAGCGCGUGCAGGCGGUUUGGUAAGUUGGAUGUGAAAGCUCCCGGCUCAACUGGGAGAGGUCGUUCAAUACUGCCAGACUUGAGGAUGGUAGAGGGAGGUGGAAUUCCCGGUGUAGUGGUGAAAUGCGUAGAUAUCGGGAGGAACACCAGUGGCGAAGGCGGCCUCCUGGGCCAUUCCUGACGCUCAGACGCGAAAGCUAGGGUAGCAAACGGGAUUAGAAACCCCGGUAGUCCUAGCUGUAAACGAUGUGGACUUGGCGUUGGUGG